UCUCCUCCGGGGCGCAGCAGUGGGGAAUAUUGCACAAUGGGGGAAACCCUGAUGCAGCGACGCCGCGUGCGUGCCGCCGUCUUUCGGUCUGUCCCUCUCUCUCCUCCGGGCCGCCGCCCGCCGGUCCCUGCCUCAGCCGCCCCGGCUAACUACGUGCCCGCCGCCGCGGUCCUCCGUCGGGGGCCCGCGUUCUCCGGCUUUCCUGGGUGUCCCGGGCGCGUCGCCGGCUGUGCCCGUCUGCCGUGCCCGCCCCGGGCUCCCCCCUGGGCCUGCUUUGGCCCCUGUGGCGCUCGCGUGCUGGCGAG
This 305-nucleotide ribosomal RNA is filed under the name uncultured bacterium. Its description in RNAcentral is "bacterial SSU rRNA". The stretch from base 1 to 195 matches the Rfam family "Bacterial small subunit ribosomal RNA", at positions 335 to 546 of the family's 1533-position model. The record is from RNAcentral.